Molecule: ribosomal RNA, 492 nt
Filed under: uncultured bacterium
Lineage: Bacteria
Description: partial 16S ribosomal RNA
Rfam family: Bacterial small subunit ribosomal RNA
Source: RNAcentral
AGUGAACGCUGGCGGUAGGCCUAACACAUGCAAGUCGAACGGCAGCACAGUAAGAGCUUGCUCUUACGGGUGGCGAGUGGCGGACGGGUGAGGUAUACAUCGGAAUCUACUUUUUCGUGGGGGAUAACGUAGGGAAACUUACGCUAAUACCGCAUACGAGCUACGGGUGAAAGCAGGGGAUCUUCGGACCUUGCGCGAUUGAAUGAGCCGAUGUCGGAUUAGCUAGUUGGCGGGGUAAAGGCCCACCAAGGCGACGAUCCGUAGCUGGCCUGAGAGGAUGAUCAGCCACACUGGAACUGAGACACGGUCUAGACUCCUACGGGAGGCAGCAGUGGGGAAUAUUGGACAAUGGGCGAAAGCCUGAUCCAGCAAUACCGCGUGGGUGAAGAAGGCCUUCGGGUUGUAAAGCACUUUUGUUGGGAAAGAAAAGCAGCAGGUUAAUACCCCGCUGUUCUGACGGUACCCAAAGAAUAAGCACCGGCUAACUUCGUG